GUGGUAUAAAAAAAAUAAAUUUUAAGUGCCCUGCAUAUUUUCAGCACUUUGAAGACA
Fulmarus glacialis (Northern fulmar) is the source of this 57-nucleotide non-coding RNA. NCBI's taxonomy places the organism in Eukaryota, Metazoa, Chordata, Aves, Procellariiformes, Procellariidae. The record is from Rfam.